This is a long non-coding RNA of Strigops habroptila (Kakapo), 753 nucleotides long. RefSeq lists it as uncharacterized. The transcript is spliced from 3 exons. The record is from RefSeq and is a predicted model, not a curated record. NCBI's taxonomy places the organism in Eukaryota, Metazoa, Chordata, Aves, Psittaciformes, Psittacidae.
UUAUUUUUUUUUUUUUUAAUUUCAAGAGAACAUAUCGCAGUGGAACAGUAUCGUAAGGCUGUUCUCACAAAUCCUUUGGGAAAGGUAGGAUGAUGUAUUGGCCCAAGGAAUACACUGUUUUGUCUUCUGGCAGCCCUUCAACAAAGAAUAAGAAUUCUGGAUAUGCAUCAUCAAUCUCCAAGAAUAAAAUAGGCUCCAAUACGAGAACAUUAUUUCUCAAUUUUAUCCAUCAUCUUGUUUUAUAUCAAUCUUCCCAAUUACAGUGCUGCUGCAUCUGUCAAGAUGAGUCUUCUGCUGUGUUUAAAGAAUGUUUAAAACUAUUGUGGUCAACCUGAAAACUUGAGUCAGCAGUGCGACAGUGUGGCAGACGGUUGUGCCAUGUCCAGAACAUGCUUGCCGCUACUUGGUCCUCCAAAGGCCUCAUUGUGAAUGCUGUGUCCAGUUGCGACCACUGUUUAUACAAAGUGCAGACUAAUUUGGUAAUUUCUCAAGAUGAUGAAGCAAUAGCAUGACCAUUACAUUUUUGGUCAUUAGUUUUUUCUUAAAUGAUGUUCAAAAAGUUCAGCUUUUUUCUAUCUGAAUUUUUAAAAAGAAGAUUGUCCCAUAACCUGUUACUGUUUGUUAGUUUUGUUGUUGUUGUUUUAGUUGUUGAUAGGGUUUUUGGCUGAUGGUAUUCUUUUUGGGGUGUGUGUCUUUUUUUUUUUUUAAUUUUGUUUUCUCAUUAAUGUUUUAAUAAAAAAAACUUUUUCUCUC